GAUAAACGCUGGCGGCGCACAUAAGACAUGCAAGUCGAACGGAAGUCGUUAUAAAAAGGAUUGAAGAUUUAUCUGAUUGAGAUUUUAUAACAAUGGCUUUAGUGGCGGACUGGUGAGUAACGCGUGAGCAACCUGCCUACUAGAGGGGAAUAACAGUGAGAAAUCAUUGCUAAUACCGCAUAUGCCAUGAACAUCACAUGAUGAAAAUGGGAAAAGAGUAAUCUGCUAGUAGAUGGGCUCGCGUCUGAUUAGCUGGUUGGUGAGGUAAUGGCUCACCAAGGCGACGAUCAGUAGCCGGACUGAGAGGUUGAACGGCCACAUUGGGACUGAGAUACGGCCCAG
This 342-nucleotide ribosomal RNA is filed under the name uncultured bacterium. RNAcentral describes it as "bacterial SSU rRNA". It matches the Rfam family "Bacterial small subunit ribosomal RNA", at positions 28 to 334 of the family's 1533-position model. The record is from RNAcentral.